GACAAUAGGAUAUACGCUCCCCUGACAGAGAGCAACAGAGAAUGGCGCCUUUGGGGGAGUUAAGAAAAAAGCUUUCUCCUUCAUUUUCCCAUCAAAGACCAAGAUAGACCCUUUCCCUUCCAAAAAAUGGCGUAGCUUUCACCCUCCUCUCUCCAGUUUCUCACCUCACCCACACACUAAUCUCUGAUGGAACAAAGCUAAAAAGAGUUCUGGAUUCAAAAUAAGAAAAAUCCGAGUUUCAGAUUUGAAAAAGAAAAAGAACAAAAAAAAUUCUCAUGAACAAAACAAAACAGAGCAAACGGUCAAAAAAGGAAUUUGGAGCUGUUGGACUGAGGAGCUGCUGUUUGUCGCUAUUCCCUCGCUGGUUGAGUCACUAUCUGUUGUUGUAGCUGAUUUUUCUCAGCUCAUUGAUUUCAGCUCUUGCUUGGCUUUCUAGUUGUUUUAAUUGUUGAUUAAGGUCAAUUCUAGUCCAAGUUUUACCUCGAUGCACAGGGUUCGAGAUGACCAAAAAAAUGAGUCUCAAUCCAGAAUAAAGAC
This is a long non-coding RNA of Nicotiana tabacum (common tobacco), 537 nucleotides long. RefSeq lists it as uncharacterized. The record is from RefSeq and is a predicted model, not a curated record. Lineage: Eukaryota; Viridiplantae; Streptophyta; Magnoliopsida; Solanales; Solanaceae.